ACAGCUAAGUGCCCUCUCAGACUAGAAACACAAGGCAGGCACACCUGUCUGCCCUCCUUAUUUAAAACAUAAAUCACUCAGAACACAAGUAAAACUUCUUAACAGGAAAUGGCACAUGCCUGAUCUGCAUGUUGUUCUUUCUUCUACUCAAUACCAAACUUCUUCAUCAGCAUCAGAACGAAAUCAUAGACCUUUUGUGGAUCUUCAAGGGCCUUGGAUACAGUCUCUUUCUGCAAGCACCUCUUACAGUAAGCAAUCAUCUUCGGACACUCGGCCUCUAUGUUGAAGUUUCCGAUGGUCUCAUAG
Molecule: long non-coding RNA, 306 nt
Filed under: Populus trichocarpa (black cottonwood)
Lineage: Eukaryota; Viridiplantae; Streptophyta; Magnoliopsida; Malpighiales; Salicaceae
Description: long non-coding RNA (PTRI_LNC002791)
Source: RNAcentral